UGAGGAAUAUUGGUCAAUGGGCGAAAGCCUGAACCAGCCAUCCCGCUGGCAGGAAGACGGCCCAAGGGUUUUUAACCUGUUUUUCCGGGGGGGGAAACUUUCGGUUGAAUGGGGAUUGGACGUUACCCGGGGAAUAAGAAUCGGCUAACCCGUUGCCAGCAGCGGCGGUAAUACGGAGGUUGCGGCCUUAAUCCGGAUUUAUUGGGUUUAAAGGGUGCGUAGGCGGAUCGAUAAGUCAGUGGUGAAAACCUGCAGCUUAACUGUAGACUUGCCGUUGAUACUGUUGGUCUUGAGUAUGGUCAAGGUAGGCGGAAUGUGGAAUGUAGCGGUGAAAUGCUUAGAUAUUACACAGAACACCGAUUGCGAAGGCAGCUUACUGGACCAUCACUGACGCUGAUGCACGAAAGCGUGGGGAUCGAACAG
This 423-nucleotide ribosomal RNA is filed under the name uncultured bacterium. RNAcentral describes it as "bacterial SSU rRNA". It matches the Rfam family "Bacterial small subunit ribosomal RNA", at positions 355 to 775 of the family's 1533-position model. The record is from RNAcentral.